RNAcentral lists this ribosomal RNA (423 nucleotides) under uncultured bacterium. RNAcentral describes it as "partial 16S ribosomal RNA". It matches the Rfam family "Bacterial small subunit ribosomal RNA", at positions 359 to 774 of the family's 1533-position model. The record is from RNAcentral.
GAAUUUUGGACAAUGGGCGAAAGCCUGAUCCAGCAAUGCCGCGUGCAGGAUGAAGGCCUUCGGGUUGUAAACUGCUUUUGUACGGAACGAAAAGCUUUGGGGUAAUACCCUGGAGUCAUGACGGUACCGUAAGCAGAAGCACCGGCUAACUCCGUGCAAGCCGCCGCGGUAAUACGUAGGGUGGAAGCGUUAAUCGGAAUUACUGGGCGUAAAGCCUGCGCACGCGGUUUGAUAAGACAGAAAUGAAAUCCCCGGGCUCAACCUGGGAACUGCCUUUGUGACUGCAAGGCUAGAGUACGGCAGAGGGGGGUGGAAUUCCGCGUGUAGCAGUGAAAUGCGUAGAUAUGCGGAGGAACACCGAUGGCGAAGGCAACCCCCUGGGCCUGUACUGACGCUCAUGCACGAAAGCGUGGGGAGCAAACA